Molecule: ribosomal RNA, 496 nt
Filed under: uncultured bacterium
Lineage: Bacteria
Description: partial 16S ribosomal RNA
Rfam family: Bacterial small subunit ribosomal RNA
Source: RNAcentral
GAUGAACGCUGGCGGCGUGCCUAAUACAUGCAAGUCGAGCGAACGGACGAGAAGCUUGCUUCUCUGAUGUUAGCGGCGGACGGGUGAGUAACACGUGGAUAACCUACCUAUAAGACUGGGAUAACUUCGGGAAACCGUAGCUAAUACCGGAUAUUAUUUUGAACCGCAUGGUUCAAAAGUGAAAGACGGUCUUGCUGUCACUUAUAGAUGGAUCCGCGCUGCAUUAGCUAGUUGGUAAGGUAACGGCUUACCAAGGCAACGAUGCAUAGCCGACCUGAGAGGGUGAUCGGCCACACUGGAACUGAGACACGGUCCAGACUCCUACGGGAGGCAGCAGUAGGGAAUCUUCCGCAAUGGGCGAAAGCCUGACGGAGCAACGCCGCGUGAGUGAUGAAGGUCUUCGGAUCGUAAAACUCUGUUAUUAGGGAAGAACAUAUGUGUAAGUAACUGUGCACAUCUUGACGGUACCAAUCAGAAAGCCACGGCUAACUACGUG